RNAcentral lists this ribosomal RNA (496 nucleotides) under uncultured bacterium. RNAcentral describes it as "partial 16S ribosomal RNA". It matches the Rfam family "Bacterial small subunit ribosomal RNA", at positions 29 to 507 of the family's 1533-position model. The record is from RNAcentral.
AUGAACGCUGGCGGCGUGCCUAAUACAUGCAAGUCGAGCGAACAGACGAGGAGCUUGCUCCUCUGACGUUAGCGGCGGACGGGUGAGUAACACGUGGAUAACCUACCUAUAAGACUGGGAUAACUUCGGGAAACCGGAGCUAAUACCGGAUAAUAUAUUGAACCGCAUGGUUCAAUAGUGAAAGACGGUUUUGCUGUCACUUAUAGAUGGAUCCGCGCCGCAUUAGCUAGUUGGUAAGGUAACGGCUUACCAAGGCAACGAUGCGUAGCCGACCUGAGAGGGUGGUCGGCCACCCUGGAACUGAGCCACGGUCCAGACUCCUACGGGAGGCAGCAGUAGGGAAUCUUCCGCAAUGGGCGAAAGCCUGACGGAGCAACGCCGCGUGAGUGAUGAAGGUCUUCGGAUCGUAAAACUCUGUUAUUAGGGAAGAACAAAUGUGUAAGUAACUAUGCACGUCUUGACGGUACCUAAUCAGAAAGCCACGGCUAACUACGUG